This 733-nucleotide ribosomal RNA is filed under the name Escherichia coli. RNAcentral's name for it is "partial 23S ribosomal RNA". It matches the Rfam family "Bacterial large subunit ribosomal RNA", at positions 366 to 1102 of the family's 2925-position model. The record is from RNAcentral. Lineage: Bacteria; Pseudomonadati; Pseudomonadota; Gammaproteobacteria; Enterobacterales; Enterobacteriaceae.
GACAGCCCCGUACACAAAAAUGCACAUGCUGUGAGCUCGAUGAGUAGGGCGGGACACGUGGUAUCCUGUCUGAAUAUGGGGGGACCAUCCUCCAAGGCUAAAUACUCCUGACUGACCGAUAGUGAACCAGUACCGUGAGGGAAAGGCGAAAAGAACCCCGGCGAGGGGAGUGAAAAAGAACCUGAAACCGUGUACGUACAAGCAGUGGGAGCCUCUUUUAUGGGGUGACUGCGUACCUUUUGUAUAAUGGGUCAGCGACUUAUAUUCUGUAGCAAGGUUAACCGAAUAGGGGAGCCGAAGGGAAACCGAGUCUUAACUGGGCGUUAAGUUGCAGGGUAUAGACCCGAAACCCGGUGAUCUAGCCAUGGGCAGGUUGAAGGUUGGGUAACACUAACUGGAGGACCGAACCGACUAAUGUUGAAAAAUUAGCGGAUGACUUGUGGCUGGGGGUGAAAGGCCAAUCAAACCGGGAGAUAGCUGGUUCUCCCCGAAAGCUAUUUAGGUAGCGCCUCGUGAAUUCAUCUCCGGGGGUAGAGCACUGUUUCGGCAAGGGGGUCAUCCCGACUUACCAACCCGAUGCAAACUGCGAAUACCGGAGAAUGUUAUCACGGGAGACACACGGCGGGUGCUAACGUCCGUCGUGAAGAGGGAAACAACCCAGACCGCCAGCUAAGGUCCCAAAGUCAUGGUUAAGUGGGAAACGAUGUGGGAAGGCCCAGACAGCCAGGAUGUU